AUUUGCUUAAAAAAUUAAUAAAUGUGAUUGGAGGUAAAUUAUACAAGGAGAGAAGAGCGUAACAUGAAGGGAAACUUUGCCUCUCCAACGUAAAGGGUAAAUCAAAAAUUUUAUAUUAUUGAGAACUCAUUAAUUCACAUUGAAUAUGGAUCCAUUAAUUCACAUUAAAUAUGGAUCAAAUUAAUCUCUCAAUCAUAAUCCUUAAAAAAUUAUCUGCUACUUAUUUAAAGUAGAAAAGUAAUUAAAUAAGUGAAGCAAUCAUUCCCCUUUUUUGGAAUCCUAGGAUUGAAUGAGAAACUAAAAUUAUACACAUUAAUUUGAUUCCUUAUGAUAUUGGAAAUGGCCACUCUUUCAUUUGUUUUUGAAACACUUUUUUCCCCUAAAUGUAUUUGGAG
RNAcentral lists this unclassified non-coding RNA (395 nucleotides) under Hevea brasiliensis (rubber tree). The record is from RNAcentral. Lineage: Eukaryota; Viridiplantae; Streptophyta; Magnoliopsida; Malpighiales; Euphorbiaceae.